UGGGUAGUUGGUCUAGGUGAAUUUUC
This 26-nucleotide non-coding RNA is filed under the name Homo sapiens (human). The record is from RNAcentral. Lineage: Eukaryota; Metazoa; Chordata; Mammalia; Primates; Hominidae.